This 483-nucleotide ribosomal RNA is filed under the name uncultured bacterium. RNAcentral's name for it is "partial 16S ribosomal RNA". It matches the Rfam family "Bacterial small subunit ribosomal RNA", at positions 28 to 523 of the family's 1533-position model. The record is from RNAcentral.
GACGAACGCUGGCGGCGUGCUUAACACAUGCAAGUCGAACGAUGAAAGUGGAGCUUGCUCCGCUGGAUUAGUGGCGAACGGGUGAGUAACACGUGGGCAACCUGCCCCAGACUCUGGGAUAACUCCUCGAAAGAGGUGCUAAUACCGGAUACGAACUCCUUGGGCAUCCUUGGAGUUGGAAGGUUUUUCGGUCUGGGAUGGGCCCGCGGCCUAUCAGCUUGUUGGUGAGGUAACGGCUCACCAAGGCGACGACGGGUCGCCGGCCUGAGGGGGCGACCGGCCACACUGGGACUGAGAAACGGCCCAGACUCCUACGGGAGGCAGCAGUGGGGAAUAUUGCGCAAUGGGCAAAAGCCUGACGCAGCAACGCCGCGUGAGAGAUGACGGCCUUCGGGUUGUAAACCUCUUUCAGCAGGGAAGAAGCGAAAGUGACGGUACCUGCAGAAGAAGCACCGGCUAACUACGUGCCAGCCGCCGCCGUAA